UACGUAGGUCCCGAGCGUUGUCCGGAUUUACUGGGCGUAAAGGGCGCGUAGGCGGAUAUUUAAGUCAGGGGUGAAAUCCCAGGGCUCAACCCUGGAACUGCCUUUGAUACUGGAUACCUAGAGUAUGGAAGAGGUGAGUGGAAUUCCGAGUGUAGAGGUGAAAUUCGUAGAUAUUCGGAGGAACACCAGUGGCGAAGGCGGCUCACUGGUCCAUUACUGACGCUGAGGUGCGAAAGCGUGGGGAGCAAACAGG
Molecule: ribosomal RNA, 253 nt
Filed under: uncultured bacterium
Lineage: Bacteria
Description: partial 16S ribosomal RNA
Rfam family: Bacterial small subunit ribosomal RNA
Source: RNAcentral